This 402-nucleotide ribosomal RNA is filed under the name bacterium. Its description in RNAcentral is "partial 16S ribosomal RNA". It matches the Rfam family "Bacterial small subunit ribosomal RNA", at positions 355 to 776 of the family's 1533-position model. The record is from RNAcentral.
UGGGGAAUUUUGCACAAUGGGGGAAACCCUGAUGCAGCGACGCCGCGUGAUUUAGAAGGCCUUCGGGUUGUAAAAAUCUUUUCUAUGGGAAGAAAAUGACAGUACCAUAGGAAUAAGGACCGGCUAAUUAAGUGCCAGCAGCCGCGGUAAUACGUAAGGUCCGAGCGUUGUCCGGAAUCAUUGGGCGUAAAGGGUACGUAGGCGGGUAAGCAAGUUAGAAGUGAAAUCCUAUAGCUCAACUAUAGUAAGCUUUUAAAACUGCUCAUCUUGAGGUAUGGAAGGGAAAGUGGAAUUCCUAGUGUAGCGGUGAAAUGCGCAGAUAUUAGGAGGAAUACCGGUGGCGAAGGCGACUUUCUGGCCAUAACCUGACGCUGAGGUACGAAAGCGUGGGUAGCAAACAGG